RNAcentral lists this ribosomal RNA (159 nucleotides) under uncultured Leptolinea sp. RNAcentral's name for it is "partial 16S ribosomal RNA". It matches the Rfam family "Bacterial small subunit ribosomal RNA", at positions 1225 to 1382 of the family's 1533-position model. The record is from RNAcentral. Lineage: Bacteria; Bacillati; Chloroflexota; Anaerolineae; Anaerolineales; Anaerolineaceae.
CUACAAUGGCCAGCACAGUAGGUUGCUAAGCCGCGAGGUGGAGCCAAUCCAUAAAGCUGGUCUCAGUUCAGAUUGCAGGCUGCAACCCGCCUGCAUGAAGAUGGAGUUGCUAGUAACCGCAGGGUCAGCUAUACUGCGGUGAAUACGUUCCCGGGGCUU